RNAcentral lists this ribosomal RNA (198 nucleotides) under Triticum aestivum (bread wheat). Its description in RNAcentral is "partial small subunit ribosomal RNA". Lineage: Eukaryota; Viridiplantae; Streptophyta; Magnoliopsida; Poales; Poaceae. The record is from RNAcentral.
GUCAAUAAUGGGAAAGCAUGUGCUUUUCUAACUCACAUGGGUCGUGAUCCUAACUCAGCUCAUAACUUUGCUGUUAGAUGUUUUGAAAAUCUUAAGAAUAGCAUGUCUCAUAUAGACAAGGUAAUGGUGAAGCAAUGUGAGAAAAGAGUGGCAGAUGCGAGACUAAGACUCAAGACUACAAUUGAUGUCAUCAGGUAA